Molecule: ribosomal RNA, 301 nt
Filed under: uncultured bacterium
Lineage: Bacteria
Description: partial 16S ribosomal RNA
Rfam family: Bacterial small subunit ribosomal RNA
Source: RNAcentral
CAGUCGCCACGGGAAUACGUAGGGUGCAAGCGUUGUCCGGAAUUAUUGGGCGUAAAGAGCUCGUAGGCGGUUUGUCGCGUCUGCUGUGAAAACGCGAGGCUCAACCUCGCGCCUGCAGUGGGUACGGGCAGACUAGAGUGUGGUAGGGGAGAUUGGAAUUCCUGGUGUAGCGGUGGAAUGCGCAGAUAUCAGGAGGAACACCGAUGGCGAAGGCAGAUCUCUGGGCCAUUACUGACGCUGAGGAGCGAAAGCGUGGGGAGCGAACAGGAUUAGAGACCCCCGUAGUCCCUGUCUCUUAUAC